Molecule: ribosomal RNA, 612 nt
Filed under: uncultured bacterium
Lineage: Bacteria
Description: partial 16S ribosomal RNA
Rfam family: Bacterial small subunit ribosomal RNA
Source: RNAcentral
CGGGUGAGUAACACGUGGGUAACCUGCCCGGAAGUGGGGAAUACCUCGGGGAAACUCGAGCUAAUACCGCAUGACAUCUUCGGGACGAAAGUCCUGGUGAUCAAAGCGGGGCCGCAAGGUCUCGCGCUACCGGAUGGGCCCGCGCCCGAUUAGCUAGUUGGUGAGGUAACGGCUCACCAAGGCUUCGAUCGGUAACCGGCCUGAGAGGGCGAUCGGUCACACCGGAACUGAGACACGGUCCGGACUCCUACGGGAGGCAGCAGUGGGGAAUCUUGCGCAAUGGGCGAAAGCCUGACGCAGCAACGCCGCGUGGAGGAUGAAGGCCCUUGGGUUGUAACUCCUGUCGGCUCGGACGACUCGGAAAAAAAUAAUCCGGGGGUUGUCAACCCCAUUUUGGGGGGCCCCCCCAAAGGAGCCCCCGGUAUUUUUGUUGCCGCGCCGGGUAUUACAGAGGGGGCCCCCUUUUUUGAAUUUUUGGGGGUAAAGGGGCGUAACCGGACUGUUUUUCCCGGAAACCCCCCUCUCUAAGGAGAGCUGGGAAAACACCACAGCCUGAUUCGGGGAGAGGGGGUAUAUUCUCAGUGUAGCGGUAAGUGCUAUAUUGUGGGAAUC